GUGAAGCGCAAAGCAGUGUGGGGCAUUAAAACGAUUUCUCCUGUAGACUUGGUGGAGUUAAGACGUGUGUGCGCCGAGCAGUGUGUCUGGCUGGUGCAGUCUCGUCACCAUUACCGUUGUAAGUGGCAGUGUGUGCAUCACGUGAUAAGGUCUGGUCAUGGCGCCCACCCACUAAACCUGGGCAACAGUGUCUCCUGACCAUCCCCUAAACACGGGCAAACAGUCUCGGGCGUCAGUCAGAAGUUGGAACACGUCUCACCACAAGUCUGGCACCGGCUUCCCUACAUCGGCGCACAACCAACUUGGUGGAGCCACGUCUGUUUCACACGACCGAACUCGUCAGCCACAGCGGCGCUCCAGUCCGACCUGUACCCUCCCAAGCCUCUUUGAAGCCCCGGCAUCAUUAUCCUCCUCCUCCUCCUGUGUCCAUGUGAAAGCAGUGUAUCUCCAGGUGGUGCUUCUUCAGGAGAGGACGCAGACCCCGGAGGCGUGCGGUCCGGCACAGGCACAGGCAGGGGCAGGGGCUGGGCUGUUUCAACUCGUUCACUGGAGGCGUAGGCUGUCAGGAAUUGUUCAGUGUUGGUGUUAAAGGUAAUGUAACGACUAACGAGGCUGACUGAACCAGAACUCAAGGUUUCUAAUCAGAUUAGAAUGAAGAGUACCUUUUUUUUUUUUUUUUUUUUUUUGUUUAAAGGUUGAGAUUGCAAAUUGUUCCGUGGUGGUGGGUAAAAUCGAAUGCACUGAACAUUUAACAAGACGCACACCACACACCACACGUGUCCUACAUUGAGGACAAGGUUGUUCAUGACACACCACACACCACCACGUCACCUACAUUUGAGGACAAGGUUAUUCAUGAUUAAAGUGUAAAGCUAAGAUGCAAUUUGUUACAGGUCCUGCCAGUACUGAAGGGAAAACCAAACCAGCGUGUCCUGAAACCCAACCCUUCGUGCACGGGAAGACGCAAACUGUUUCGCUGCACCUUUCAAUGGAGGAAUUGGACCCUGCCUCGCACCAGCCCUGAUGUGACAACACGCAGCCCCAUCCAGGGAGGGUGGACACUGCCUCGCUGCCCCUUCCCUGACAACACCCAGUGCCAUCCAGGGAGGGAGGACACACUGCAUCGCACCAGCUAACCUGACAACACGGAGCGUCAUCCAGGGAGGGAGGACACCGCCUUGCUUCAUGUAACCUGACCUAACCAAUACAUGUUGCCAGUCACUCUGAUGUUAUUCCUUCAAUGCUUUGUGAUGGACCCACACAACUGGUGUUACUACUUCAGAAUAAAUUAUUAAUAAAUUCGUACUGAUUUUGAUGGCCUACCCUGGAGCUUGACCUGACCUCAUCAAAUACGAAGCUUAACCUAACCUCACUUCACAUAGUGUAUCUAAUUUAACCUAACCCUAUUAAUCCCCACAAAGUGUAUAAAAAAAAACUGCUUUUCCAAAUAAAAACUACAAUCCUUAA
Long non-coding RNA from Portunus trituberculatus (swimming crab), 1467 nucleotides. RefSeq lists it as uncharacterized. Lineage: Eukaryota; Metazoa; Arthropoda; Malacostraca; Decapoda; Portunidae. The record is from RefSeq and is a predicted model, not a curated record. The transcript has 2 exons.